ACGAGGGUUAUACUGUCUCCUUUCCCCAAUCAGUGAAACUGAUCUCUCCGUGAAAAUUAACCUCCACGAUGAAUGGGCUAACCCCCUUACCCAAGAGCCACACCUCUAAGAAUUAGCAAUCUAUCAUUAACUGAUCCGAUCAUCGAUCAACGAACCAAGUUACCCUGGGGAUAACAGCGCAAUCCACUUUAAGAGCCCCUAUCGACAAGUGGGUUUACGACCUCGAUGUUGGAUCAGGGUAUCCCAGUGGUGCAGCAGCUGCUGAAGGUUCGUUUGU
Molecule: ribosomal RNA, 277 nt
Filed under: Aglyptodactylus inguinalis
Lineage: Eukaryota; Metazoa; Chordata; Amphibia; Anura; Mantellidae
Description: partial large subunit ribosomal RNA
Rfam family: Bacterial large subunit ribosomal RNA
Source: RNAcentral